This 496-nucleotide ribosomal RNA is filed under the name uncultured bacterium. RNAcentral describes it as "partial 16S ribosomal RNA". It matches the Rfam family "Bacterial small subunit ribosomal RNA", at positions 28 to 506 of the family's 1533-position model. The record is from RNAcentral.
GAUGAACGCUGGCGGCGUGCCUAAUACAUGUAAGUCGAGCGAACAGACGAGGAGCUUGCUCCUCUGACGUUAGCGGCGGACGGGUGAGUAACACGUGGAUAACCUACCUAUAAGACUGGGAUAACUUCGGGAAACCGGAGCUAAUACCGGAUAAUAUAUUGAACCGCAUGGUUCAAUAGUGAAAGACGGUUUUGCUGUCACUUAUAGAUGGAUCCGCGCCGCAUUAGCUAGUUGGUAAGGUAACGGCUUACCAAGGCAACGAUGCGUAGCCGACCUGAGAGGGUGAUCGGCCACACUGGAACUGAGACACGGUCCAGACUCCUACGGGAGGCAGCAGUAGGGAAUCUUCCGCAAUGGGCGAAAGCCUGACGGAGCAACGCCGCGUGAGUGAUGAAGGUCUUCGGAUCGUAAAACUCUGUUAUUAGGGAAGAACAAAUGUGUAAGUAACUAUGCACGUCUUGACGGUACCGAAGCAGAAAGCCACGGCUAACUACGU